This 301-nucleotide ribosomal RNA is filed under the name uncultured bacterium. RNAcentral's name for it is "partial 16S ribosomal RNA". It matches the Rfam family "Bacterial small subunit ribosomal RNA", at positions 509 to 809 of the family's 1533-position model. The record is from RNAcentral.
CAGUAGCCGCGGUAAUACGUAGGGCGCGAGCGUUGUCCGGAAUCAUUGGGCGUAAAGCGCGUGUAGGCGGCUGAGUAAGACUGCUGUGAAAGUCCAGGGCUCAACCCUGGAAUGUCGGCGGAUACUGCUCAGCUGGAGUACGGGAGGGGCGAGUGGAAUUCCUGGUGUAGCGGUGGAAUGCGCAGAUAUCAGGAGGAACACCUAUGGCGAAGGCAGCUCGCUGGAACGUUACUGACGCUGAUGCACGAAAGCUAGGGGAGCGAACAGGAUUAGAUACCCCAGUAGUCCCUGUCUCUUAUAA